GACGAACGCUGGCGGCGUGCUUAACACAUGCAAGUCGAACGGUGAACCAGAGCUUGCUCUGGGGAUCAGUGGCGAACGGGUGAGUAACACGUGGGCAACCUGCCCAGACUCUGGGAUAACCUCGGGAACCGAUGCUAAUACCGGAUACGACCACUUCGGACAUCCGACGGUGGUGGAAGUUUUCGGUCUGGAUGGGCCGCGGCCUAUCAGCUAGUUGGUGGGGUAAUGGCCUACCAAGGCGACGACGGUAGUCGGCCUGAGAGGGCGACCGGCCACACUGGAACUGAGACACGGUCCAGACUCCUACGGGAGGCAGCAGUGAGGAAUAUUGCACAAUGGGCGAAAGCCUGAUGCAGCGACGCCGCGUGAGGGACGAC
Molecule: ribosomal RNA, 377 nt
Filed under: uncultured bacterium
Lineage: Bacteria
Description: bacterial SSU rRNA
Rfam family: Bacterial small subunit ribosomal RNA
Source: RNAcentral